RNAcentral lists this ribosomal RNA (487 nucleotides) under Cucumerunio novaehollandiae. RNAcentral's name for it is "partial 16S ribosomal RNA". It matches the Rfam family "Bacterial large subunit ribosomal RNA", at positions 1816 to 2597 of the family's 2925-position model. Lineage: Eukaryota; Metazoa; Mollusca; Bivalvia; Unionida; Hyriidae. The record is from RNAcentral.
CGUCUUCUGUUAACUAAAAAUAGAAGAUAAUGCCUGCCCAGUGAUUGAUAAUUCAACGGCCGCGUUAGCGUGAGCGUGCUAAGGUAGCGUAAUAAACAGCCUUUUAAUUUGAGGCCAGUGAAAGGCAACACGAAGGACUACUUUAUCUAAUAUGACAAAAAAACUUUACCUUUGAGUGAAAAGGCUCAAAUAAUAUAUAAAGACGAAAAGACCCCGCGGAGCUUUACUUUGAACUUAAUACUAACAAAAAAUUAUUACUAAAAGUUUGGUUGGGGCAACCUUGGAACAAGCAAUCUUCCAAUCCACUAACCUUAGAUCAAUAUACAAAAUGCGCUACAGACUAAAAAGAAGCUACCCCGGGGAUAACAGCGUAAUCCAACUUGAAAGUACACAUCGAAAGUUGGGUUUGCGACCUCGAUGUUGGCUUAGGGUAAUCCACAAAGCGCAGCCGCCUUGACAGGAUAGUCUGUUCGACUAUUAUAACCCU